RNAcentral lists this ribosomal RNA (488 nucleotides) under Bifidobacterium pseudocatenulatum. RNAcentral's name for it is "bacterial SSU rRNA". It matches the Rfam family "Bacterial small subunit ribosomal RNA", at positions 160 to 660 of the family's 1533-position model. The record is from RNAcentral. Lineage: Bacteria; Bacillati; Actinomycetota; Actinomycetes; Bifidobacteriales; Bifidobacteriaceae.
GUGGUAAUGCCGGAUGCUCCGACUCCUCGCAUGGGGUGUCGGGAAAGAUUUCAUCGGUAUGGGAUGGGGUCGCGUCCUAUCAGGUAGUCGGCGGGGUAACGGCCCACCGAGCCUACGACGGGUAGCCGGCCUGAGAGGGCGACCGGCCACAUUGGGACUGAGAUACGGCCCAGACUCCUACGGGAGGCAGCAGUGGGGAAUAUUGCACAAUGGGCGCAAGCCUGAUGCAGCGACGCCGCGUGCGGGAUGACGGCCUUCGGGUUGUAAACCGCUUUUGAUCGGGAGCAAGCCUUCGGGUGAGUGUACCUUUCGAAUAAGCACCGGCUAACUACGUGCCAGCAGCCGCGGUAAUACGUAGGGUGCAAGCGUUAUCCGGAAUUAUUGGGCGUAAAGGGCUCGUAGGCGGUUCGUCGCGUCCGGUGUGAAAGUCCAUCGCUUAACGGUGGAUCUGCGCCGGGUACGGGCGGGCUGGAGUGCGGUAGGGGAGA